Molecule: long non-coding RNA, 1531 nt
Filed under: Ficedula albicollis (Collared flycatcher)
Lineage: Eukaryota; Metazoa; Chordata; Aves; Passeriformes; Muscicapidae
Description: lncRNA (ENSFALG00000018131.2)
Source: RNAcentral
AUGGGCCGGCUGCUGGGGGAGGGCGACUGUCUCCUCUGCGGCGACGCCGACGCUCCCCGGCGCGGCGGCGCGGGGCUGGACGAGGGGGGGGAAGCUCGAGGCCGUGGUGAAGGUGAAUGCCUUUUGUUUUGGGGUGGAGAACGUGUUUCCCUGUUGGAUCUGCUGGGAGGAGACCCCUUCCUGUGCUUGGAAGAUUCGGAAGGGGAGCGCCGCUUCGCGGUCGGGGAGCUCCUCUGUUUUGGCGGUGGGGAGUGGGAGACUCUGCGCUUGGACUGGGGGGAAGGGGAGGCCCUUCUUUUGGGAGGGGGAGGAGGAGAGGCUGUUCUCCUUUUGGGAGGGGGAGAUGGGGAAUAUCUCCUCUGGAUCGGGGGGGAGUAUCUCCGUGGGGAGGGAGAACGUCUGCGCGGGGGGGGAGAUGGAGACCUGCAAAGAGAACAAACAUUCAGGACACGUUCCCAGGCAUGGCAGUCAGUGCACCCAAAGAGGGGGAAAAGGACUCUAGCGUUCUUGAAAGUCCCAAAAAUUUAACUAGAAUUCCUUAGAAGUUUUAAGAGUUUAAAAUAAAACUGUUUAAAAGUUGUUACCCAGAAAGGUUGUGGUUGUCCCAUCCCUGGAAGUGUCCAAGCUGGACAAGGCCUGGAGCAAUGUGGGCUAGUGGAAGGUGUCCCUGAUGAUCUUUAAGGUCCCUCCCAACCCAACCCAACCCAACCCAACUCAUCCCACGGUUCUGUGAUUCCGAAUUUGCAGCAGCAACCCAAUGACAUGCAGACCGUGCACCCACCAAGAAUGUGGGCUAGUGGAAGGUGUCCCUGAUGAUCUUUAAGGUCCCUCCCAACCCAACCCAACCCAACCCAACUCAUCCCACGGUUCUGUGAUUCCGAAUUUGCAGCAGCAACCCAAUGACGUGCAGACCGUGCACCCACCACAGCCAACCUCACAGCACAACACAGCCCCCUCAGCUUCCCAGUGAGGAGCUGGGAGCAGGGCCCUCUGCCCACGCCCGGAGCAGCAGCGAUGGUCGCUGCGGUCGGUACCUGCGGCGGGGCGGGGACGGCGAGCGGCGGCGCCGGGGCGGCGGGGGGGGGGGGGGGGGGGGGGGGGGGGGGGGGGGGGGGGGGGGGGGGGGGGGGGGGGGGGGGGGGGGGGGGGGGGGGGGGGGGGGGGGGCCGGGGCGGCGGCGCCGGGGAAGGGGAGCGGCGCCGGCGCGCGGGGGGCGGCGAGGGGCUCCUCCUCCUCCUGCUGCAGGGAACAGGCACAGGUCAGGGAACUGCCAGCUGAGCCACCAGCUGCUCUGGGCUCUGCUUUCACCACACAAAAUCUGCUCCUUCAUGCACCUUGUAAUGGAAUUCUACUGGGAGCACUAAUGGAAAGAAAUGUGCUGAAAUCUUCCUGGAGAGUGGGAAAUGGUGAGUGUUUGAUUGUGACCCUGGGGCCACCAGGGGUGUCUGACUGUGACCCUGAGCCCACAACAGGUGUCUUACUGUGACCCUGAGUCCAUCACAGGUGCCUGUGACCCUGAAUCCAUCACAGG